This 429-nucleotide ribosomal RNA is filed under the name uncultured bacterium. Its description in RNAcentral is "bacterial SSU rRNA". It matches the Rfam family "Bacterial small subunit ribosomal RNA", at positions 355 to 776 of the family's 1533-position model. The record is from RNAcentral.
UGGGGAAUCUUGCGCAAUGCGCGAAAGCGUGACGCAGCAACGCCGCGUGGGGGAAGAAGGCCUUCGGGUUGUAAACCCCUUUCAGUUGGGACGAAGCUUCCAGGGUGAAUAGCCCUGCGGAGUGACGGUACCUUCACAAGAAGCCCCGGCUAACUACGUGCCAGCAGCCGCGGUAAUACGUAGGGGGCUAGCGUUGUCCGGAAUUAUUGGGCGUAAAGCGCGUGUAGGCGGUUCGGUAAGUCUGCUGUGAAAGUCCUGGGCUCAACCCUGGAAUGCCGGUGGAUACUGUCGGACUAGAGUGCGGAAGAGGCGAGUGGAAUUCCUGGUGUAGCGGUGAAAUGCGCAGAUAUCAGGAGGAACACCAAUUGCGAAGGCAGCUCGCUGGGACGUUACUGACGCUGAGACGCGAAAGCGUGGGGAGCGAACAGG